CUUGGGGCUUAAUAGGACUCAACACGGGAAAACUUACCAGGUCCGAACUUAUUGAGGUAAGAUAGAUUAAGAGCUCUUUCCCAAAUUUCGGGGUAUUGGUGCAUGGCCGUGAUGGUAUAAUGGGUGCGGUCUUCAUACGGG
RNAcentral lists this non-coding RNA (141 nucleotides) under Anopheles stephensi (Asian malaria mosquito). Its description in RNAcentral is "eukaryotic small subunit ribosomal RNA". It matches the Rfam family "Eukaryotic small subunit ribosomal RNA", at positions 1182 to 1460 of the family's 1831-position model. The record is from RNAcentral. Lineage: Eukaryota; Metazoa; Arthropoda; Insecta; Diptera; Culicidae.